Molecule: long non-coding RNA, 314 nt
Filed under: Brassica napus (rape)
Lineage: Eukaryota; Viridiplantae; Streptophyta; Magnoliopsida; Brassicales; Brassicaceae
Description: long non-coding RNA (BNAP_LNC007266)
Source: RNAcentral
GCGGGAGUAUGUAUUUUCCAGAACAAUUAGAUUUAUGUACAUACGAUCCGAUAUGCAAAACCUUAGAUAUUAGAUUCAAUGAAUGGGAUUACUCGAUAUUCGAUUAGGAUACAAAAUAGGAAAAUUGCAUUAACGUAAGUGUAUUUAAUGUGUGUUUUAGAAACUUGUAAAUUUGCAAGAUCUGUGGAAUAUACCAAUCAAUUUGAUAAUGGUAUUUUGCAUUUAUUUUUCGUAUUUUAAUGUUUCUGUUGAUUCAAAUUGCUAAAACGAGGUACUAUAUUAUCUUUUCAAUGUAAUUCACACUGAAUAGAUAA